CGUCGACGAACCUGUGUUGCGUACACGAGGUGGGUUCUUUCCUUCCAACUGAAUUUUCUCCAUACACAUGAGACACGAAUCAAACCUCUGACCUUAUGCUUAAGCCUUUAAGGGGACAACAUCCUUGCUGCUUGUCCUAAAAAAAAAAUUGUGAUGAAAAAGAGAAUAUCAACAAAGGUAAUAAAUUUCGUAAAAAAAAAAAACAAAGGUAAUAAAUCAUGAUCCAAUAUUUAAGUCUAUUAAUUGCCUAUGAAAACAACUUUUCAAGCAUUUUAUUGCAUUUGUAAGAAAAAGCAUAUUGUUAAUGAUUUAUUGCAUAAAAAAAUAAUUCAACCACACAAAAGUCAAAACAAAUAAAAAACUUCACACACAAUAUAUAGACUAAAACAUCUUUGAUUUCCCUACACCUUCCUCUUUUUUUCACUCUUUCUCCAUAUCCCUUCCAAAAAUGAAGUUCCAAGACAAAGAGCAUCUCUAUGGGAACAAUAACAAAAAACAAAUGAUCCCAAAAAUAAUUCUAAUAGCAAUUCUUGUCACAAUUAUUGUUCUUGUGACCCCUUUGUCUUAUCCAUUGUUUGGUUCAUCUUUGAUGAUGAACAAGUCUAUGCAAUCAUCAACCUCAUCAAAUGUUGAUUCAAUUAAGAAAGAAACUUUACCUUCAACAUCUUUGAAAAAUUGUGACAUUUUUAGUGGUGAAUGGGUGCCAAAUCCAAAAGCACCAUAUUAUACAAAUAAAACUUGUUGGGCUAUUC
RNAcentral lists this long non-coding RNA (752 nucleotides) under Trifolium pratense (red clover). Its description in RNAcentral is "long non-coding RNA (TPRA_LNC007186)". Lineage: Eukaryota; Viridiplantae; Streptophyta; Magnoliopsida; Fabales; Fabaceae. The record is from RNAcentral.